UACGUAGGGGGCAAGCGUUGUCCGGAUUUAUUGGGCGUAAAGAGCGUGUAGGCGGCCAGACAGGUCUGCUGUGAAAACUCGAGGCUCAACCUCGAGACGCCGGUGGAAACCGUCUGGCUAGAGUCCGGAAGAGGAGAGUGGAAUUCCUGGUGUAGCGGUGAAAUGCGCAGAUAUCAGGAGGAACACCAAUGGCGAAGGCAGCUCGCUGGGACGUGACUGACGCUGAGACGCGAAAGCGUGGGGAGCAAACAGG
RNAcentral lists this ribosomal RNA (253 nucleotides) under uncultured bacterium. Its description in RNAcentral is "partial 16S ribosomal RNA". It matches the Rfam family "Bacterial small subunit ribosomal RNA", at positions 524 to 776 of the family's 1533-position model. The record is from RNAcentral.